UACGGAGGGGGCUAGCGUUGUUCGGAAUUACUGGGCGUAAAGCGCACGUAGGCGGCUUUUUAAGUCAGGGGUGAAAUCCUGGAGCUCAACUCCAGAACUGCCUUUGAUACUGAGAAGCUUGAGUCCGGGAGAGGUGAGUGGAACUGCGAGUGUAGAGGUGAAAUUCGUAGAUAUUCGCAAGAACACCAGUGGCGAAGGCGGCUCACUGGCCCGGUACUGACGCUGAGGUGCGAAAGCGUGGGGAGCAAAC
Molecule: ribosomal RNA, 250 nt
Filed under: uncultured bacterium
Lineage: Bacteria
Description: partial 16S ribosomal RNA
Rfam family: Bacterial small subunit ribosomal RNA
Source: RNAcentral